This 253-nucleotide ribosomal RNA is filed under the name uncultured bacterium. Its description in RNAcentral is "partial 16S ribosomal RNA". It matches the Rfam family "Bacterial small subunit ribosomal RNA", at positions 524 to 776 of the family's 1533-position model. The record is from RNAcentral.
UACGUAGGCAGCAAGCGUUGUUCGGAGUUACUGGGCGUAAAGGGUGUGUAGGCGGUUGUUUAAGUUUGGUGUGAAAUCUCCCGGCUCAACUGGGAGGGUGCGCCGAAUACUGAAUGACUAGAGUGCGGGAUGGGAGAGUAGAAUUCCUGGUGUAGCGGUGAAAUGCGUAGAUAUCAGGAGGAAUACCGGUGGUGAAGACGGCUCUCUGGACCGCAACUGACGCUGAGACACGAAAGCGUGGGUAGCAAACAGG